AGAGUUUGAUCCUGGCUCAGGAUGAACGCUGGCGGCGCGCCUAACACAUGCAAGUCGAACGGUGACGGGGAGCAAUCCCCUGAUCAGUGGCGGACGGGUGAGUAACGCGUGAGUAACCUGCCCUUAUGAGCGGAAUAACGUCCGGAAACAGACGCUAAUACCGCAUAAUGCAUUGAGUCGGCAUCGGCUUAAUGCCAAAGAUUUAUCGCAUAAGGAUGGACUCGCGUCCCAUUAGAUAGUUGGCGGGGUAACGGCCCACCAAGUCAGCGAUGGGUAGCCGGACUGAGAGGUUGAACGGCCACAUUGGAACUGAGAAACGGUCCAGACUCCUACGGGAGGCAGCAGUGGGGAAUAUUGGGCAAUGGGCGAAAGCCUGACCCAGCGACGCCGCGUGAGCGAUGAAGGUCUUCGGAUUGUAAAGCUCUGUGUACAGGGACGAAGAAAGUGACGGUACCUGUAUAGAAAGCCACGGCUAACUACGUGCCAGCAGCCGCGGUAAUACGUAGGUGGCAAGCGUUAUCCGGAUUUACUGGGUGUAAAGGGUGUGUAGGCGGGGGAGCAAGUCAGAUGUGAAAUUCAUGGGCUCAACUUAUGAACUGCGUCUGAAACUGUUCUUCUUGAGAGUCGGAGGGGUAAUCGGAAUUCCUGGUGUAGCGGUGAAAUGCGUAGAUAUCAGGAGGAACACCGGUGGCGAAGGCGGAUUACUGGACGACAACUGACGCUGAGACACGAAAGCGUGGGGAGCAAACAGGAUUAGAUACCCUGGUAGUCCACGCUGUAAACGAUGAAUGCUAGGUGGGGGGAGGGAUGUCUCCGUGGCGCAGGUUGACGCAAUAGGCAUUCCGCCUGGGGAGUACGGCCGCGAGGGUUGGAACUCAAAGGGAUUGACGGGGGGCCCGCACAAGCAGUGGGGUAUGGUGGUUUAAUUCGGCGCGACGCGAAGGACCUUACCGGGAUUUGGACAUGCCGAAAUCCCGAUUUAAAAGUUGGGUGACUCAGGGGAUUCGUCCGAAGAGGAAAGGACACAGGUGGGGCAUGGUUGUCGUCAGCUCGUGUCGUGAGAUGUUGGGUUAAGUCCCGCAACGAGCGCAACCCUUGUCCUUAGUAGCUAGCAGUUCGGCUGAGCACUCUAGGGAGACUGCCAGGGAUAACCUGGAGGAAGGCGGGGAUGACGUCAAAUCAUCAUGCCCCUUAUGACUUGGGCUACACACGUGCUACAAUGGCGUAAACAAAGGGAAGCAGAGUCGUGAGGCCGAGCAAAUCUCAAAAAUAACGUCUCAGUUCGGAAAGUAGUCUGCAACUCGACUACAUGAAGCUGGAAUCGCUAGUAAUCGCGAAUCAGAAUGUCGCGG
Molecule: ribosomal RNA, 1352 nt
Filed under: uncultured bacterium
Lineage: Bacteria
Description: bacterial SSU rRNA
Rfam family: Bacterial small subunit ribosomal RNA
Source: RNAcentral